UAAAAGUCGUAACAAGGUUUCCGUAGGUGAACCUGCGGAAGGAUCAUUACCGUUUGUCUUUCGACAAAACCACUGUGAAUUGUACCGAGCCGGUGGGGUAACGUUCUACGUUUUAAAUGACUCAGGUCGGCCCCACUUGUGCAACCAAGUAUGUUGUUCUUUCAACACACUGUAUAGCCUGUAUUACUUUAUGCUACGGUAUGAAGUGAAAACGAAACGUGACAACUUCUAACGGUGGAUCUCUUGGCUCGUGCAUCGAUGAAGAACGUAGCCAGUUGCGAUAAGUAGUGUGAAUUGCAGAAUUCAGUGAAUCAUCGAAUCUUUGAACGCAAAUUGCGCUCUCUGGAUAUCCAGGGAGCAUGCCUGUCUGAGCGUCGUUUAACAAUCUACACACAAUUUGUGUGGAAAGAUCAUUCAUGCUUCAAUGUGUGUCGAUCUAUGGAUUUGAACCGUGUGGUACUCCUUUGUGUACUGCUUGGAAGGCUCAACUUGCUUCUGUCCUUCUCUGCAGUGUCAUGAUGUGUGUAUAACGUGUUCUCUUUCGACCUAGUCGAAAAUUCUUACUUUUGACCUCAGAUCAGACAAGACUACCCGCUGAAUUUAAGCAUAUCAAUAAGCGGAGGAAAU
Molecule: ribosomal RNA, 627 nt
Filed under: uncultured eukaryote
Lineage: Eukaryota
Description: eukaryotic LSU rRNA
Rfam family: 5.8S ribosomal RNA (bases 224-377)
Source: RNAcentral